CGGCGCGGGUGGAAUUCCCGCGAUCGGUUUCAUUCCCUGCGCCGCCGAGAAAAGUGAGAUCCCGCGAGACUCCCAGGGCAUUUUCCCUACAUUUUCAAAGGCCUGCAUCAUCACACCUGCCGCAGCUUUCUCUAUCAUUGAGGCAUUUUCUCAGGAAAUCACCUGUGAAAUAUUUUGCAGCUAACCACCUACCUGUGCCCCGCCAGCCAACCUGCUUUACUCCUGCCAGGCAGGUUCUCUGUACCCCUCUGGAUUCUGUCUGCCUUUGUUAUAUCUUCAUGAACAAGUUAUGCAGCCUCAACUAAAGCUUGUAACAAAGCAAAAGUUACUCUCCUGAGUGUGUCCUCUGAUGGCUGGUGAGAUAUGACUUCAAGACGAAGCCUCACCCACACUCCCUGUACAAAAACGCUUCUCACCUGUGUCACUCUGGAAGCUUUGAUCAGAAAAUUGUAGUUGCUGUUGCCUCUGAUGUGCAAGUCCAAGAUUCUUGGGCCGCAGGACAUGUUCUGCAUAUAUUCCUGGAGAAUAGACCA
Molecule: non-coding RNA, 533 nt
Filed under: Pongo abelii (Sumatran orangutan)
Lineage: Eukaryota; Metazoa; Chordata; Mammalia; Primates; Hominidae
Source: RNAcentral